Oncorhynchus keta (chum salmon) is the source of this 1030-nucleotide long non-coding RNA. RefSeq lists it as uncharacterized. The record is from RefSeq and is a predicted model, not a curated record. NCBI's taxonomy places the organism in Eukaryota, Metazoa, Chordata, Actinopteri, Salmoniformes, Salmonidae. The transcript has 3 exons.
AGUGUGGAAGGGGGGUUCAGUAUUGCACAAGGAAUUUCCUGAAUUAAUAUUCAAAAUAUACAAACAUUUGAUUGGUUUCACAAGGAAUUGGUUACAAACUAACCCUAACACAACAUAGGUACAAUGCACGCAGACACACACCUAACACGACAUUAACAAGCACACACAACUAAGGGGAAGGGACUAGCUUCCCAUAAGGGCCAGUUAUCUUACAGUCCACAAUGGGUUUAUUUCCACAGAAAGCGAUUUCCUGAGUUCUAAAAGUAUUUCAUCAUCUCACAGAGUGGGGAAAAGAGAGAGCGAGAUAGAGAGGUACGGGGAGACGGAGGGAGGGAGAGAGAACAGAGAUGUUCAGAGGGACGGGGAGACGGAGGUAGAGAGAGGGAACAGAGAUGGUCAGAGGGACGGGGAGACGGAGGUAGAGAGAGGAAAUAGAGAUGGUCAGAGGGAUGGGGAGACGGAGGUAGAGAGAGGGAACAGAGGUGGUCAGAGGGAUGGGGAGACGGAGGUAGAGAGAGGGAACAGAGAUGGUCAGAGGGACGGGGAGACGGAGGUAGAGAGAGGGAACAGAGAUGGUCAGAGGGACGGGGAGAUGGAGGUAGAGAGAGGGAACAGAGGUGGUCAGAGGGAUGGGGAGACGGAGGUAGAGAGAGAGAACAGAGGUGGUCAGAGGGACGGGGAGACGGAGGUAGAGAGAGAGAACAGAGGUGGUCAGAGGGACGGGGAGACGGAGGUAGAGAGAGAGAACAGAGAUGGUCAGAUGGAGGUAGAGAGAGGGAACAGAGGUGGUCAGAGGGACGGGGAGAUGGAGGUAGAGAGAGGGAACAGAGGUGGUCAGAGGGAGAGGGAUGGGGAGACGGAGGUAGAGAGAGAGAACAGAGAUGGUCAGAGGGACGGGGAGACGGAGGUAGAGAGAGGGAACAGAGGUGGUCAGAGGGAUGGGGAGACGGAGGUAGAGAGAGGGAACAGAGGUGGUCAGAGGGACGGGGAGACGGAGGUAGAGAGAGGGAACAGAGGUGGUCAGAGGGAC